AAACUAACAAGGAUUCCCCUAGUAACUGCGAGUGAAGCGGGAAAAGCUCAAAUUUAAAAUCUGGUGGUCUCUGGCCAUCCGAGUUGUAAUCUAGAGAAGUGUUACCCGCGUCGGACCGUGUAUAAGUCUCCUGGAAUGGAGCGUCAUAGAGGGUGAGAAUCCCGUCUUUGACACGGACYACCGAGGCUUUGUGGUAUGCUCUCAAAGAGUCGAGUUGUUUGGGAAUGCAGCUCAAAAUGGGUGGUAAAUUCCAUCUAAAGCUAAAUAUUGGCGAGAGACCGAUAGCGAACAAGUACCGUGAGGGAAAGAUGAAAAGAACUUUGGAAAGAGAGUUAAACAGUACGUGAAAUUGCUGAAAGGGAAACGCUUGAAGUCAGUCGCGUUGGCCGGGAAUCAGCCUUGCUUUUGCUUGGUGUACUUUCUGGUUGACGGGCCAGCAUCAGUUUUGACCGGUGGAAAAAGUUCAGGGGAAUGUGGCAUCUUCGGGUGUGUUAUAGCCCUUGUUCGUAUACAUCGGUUGGGACUGAAGAACUCAGCACGCCGCAAGGCCGGGUCUUUGACCACGUU
This 567-nucleotide ribosomal RNA is filed under the name Candolleomyces candolleanus. RNAcentral describes it as "LSU rRNA". It matches the Rfam family "Eukaryotic large subunit ribosomal RNA", at positions 62 to 618 of the family's 3401-position model. The record is from RNAcentral. Lineage: Eukaryota; Fungi; Basidiomycota; Agaricomycetes; Agaricales; Psathyrellaceae.